AAUGACGGUAUCUAACGAAUAAGCACCGGCUAACUCCGUGCCAGCAGCCGCGGUAAU
Molecule: ribosomal RNA, 57 nt
Filed under: uncultured Helicobacter sp.
Lineage: Bacteria; Pseudomonadati; Campylobacterota; Epsilonproteobacteria; Campylobacterales; Helicobacteraceae
Description: partial 16S ribosomal RNA
Source: RNAcentral